This 737-nucleotide long non-coding RNA is filed under the name Vulpes vulpes (red fox). RNAcentral's name for it is "lncRNA (ENSVVUG00000000450.1)". Lineage: Eukaryota; Metazoa; Chordata; Mammalia; Carnivora; Canidae. The record is from RNAcentral.
ACCUUUGGUCCUGACAAAGUCUGUUUACUAAAGCCAUCAACACAUUCAGUGUCAAAUGGUCAAGUCAUACAUACAGCAUACGGGACUCCCCGAAUAUUUGUUCAACUCAAUCUGGGAGAAAAAUACAUUUUAAGGAUUAAAGGAUUGCUUUUAAAUAUUUAAACUGCCUAUUUCUGUAUCUUAAUACCUAAAUUGAUUUCUUACAGAACAAGCCAAAUUUUCCCAGAAAAUUACAUUGGGCAUCUUUGGAAGAACAUUAAAACUUUGAGGUAGCCCUGGUCCUGUUGCUCAAAUUACUGCUCCAGUGCACCAAACGGUGACCUGUUCAGUAGCUCAGAGUAUGCAAAAAACAGAAAAUCUACAAGUUUUGGACAAAAUUCCUCCCAAACACCUCACCUGGGAUCACUAGAGUCUGCAAAAGUCGUAUGCUAUGCUGUACAUAUUUCUGGUUCUUCUAAUCACAUUGAUAUACUGUCAGUCAAAAAUAAAGGAGCUGAAUUGAGUUCACACUUCAUUACAAAACUAAGAACAUUAUGAGAGAAUUUGACAUAAAUAGAAAAUGAGUAAAUAACCAAUGAAAAUCGCACAUGAAUGAGGAGUUAGUUGUACCAAGGACUCAAAAGAGGCAUAAAGUACUGGAAUCAAGAUCCAGGAUGCAGCAGUUAAGUUUGCUAUUCUGAGGAUAAAUAGAUCUCACUCUGAAUAAAGCAAAGAAGGAGGAAAAAUGAAGAUAGAAC